RNAcentral lists this ribosomal RNA (420 nucleotides) under bacterium. RNAcentral's name for it is "partial 16S ribosomal RNA". It matches the Rfam family "Bacterial small subunit ribosomal RNA", at positions 355 to 776 of the family's 1533-position model. The record is from RNAcentral.
UGGGGGAUAUUGCACAAUGGGCGAAAGCCUGAUGCAGCGACGCCGCGUGGGGGAUGAAGGCUUUCGGGUUGUAAACCUCAUUCGCUAUCGAACAAGGCCCGCUUAGGGUGGGUUGAGGGUAGGUGGAGAAGAAGCGCCGGCUAACUACGUGCCAGCAGCCGCGGUAAUACGUAGGGCGCGAGCGUUGUCCGGAAUUAUUGGGCGUAAAGGGCUUGUAGGCGGCUUGUUGCGCCUGCUGUGAAAACGCGGGGCUUAACUUCGCGCGUGCAGUGGGUACGGGCAGGCUUGAGUGUGGUAGGGGUGACUGGAAUUCCAGGUGUAGCGGUGGAAUGCGCAGAUAUCUGGAGGAACACCGAUGGCGAAGGCAGGUCACUGGGCCAUUACUGACGCUGAGGAGCGAAAGCAUGGGUAGCGAACAGG